AGCGGAGGAAAAGAAACUAACAAGGAUUCCCCUAGUAACGGCGAGUGAAGAGGGAAGAGCCCAAGAUUGAAAGCUGGCGUCUUCGGCGUCCGCAUUGUAAUCUCAAGAAGUGUUUUCCGCUUCGGACCAUGCCUAAGUCCCUUGGAAAAGGGUAUCAUAGAGGGUGAUAAUCCCGUACAUGGCAUGGAGCGCCCGAAGCUUUGUGAUACGCUUUCUACGAGUCGAGUUGUUUGGGAAUGCAGCUCAAAAUGGGUGGUAAAUGCCAUCUAAGGCUAAAUAUUGGGGAGAGACCGAUAGCGAACAAGUACAGUGAUGGAAAGAUGAAAAGAACUUUGAAAAGAGAGUUAAACAGUACGUGAAAUUGCCAAAAGGGAAGGGUAGGAGGUCAGAGAUGCGUCUUGGGAUUCAGCCUUGCUUUUGCAUGGUGUUUUUCCCAAGCUGCAGGCCAACGUCGGUUUUGGGCACUGGAGAAGGGUAGGAGGAACGUGGCACCUCUCGGGGUGUGUUAUAGCCUCCUACUGGAUACAGCGACCGAGACCGAGGAACGCAGCGUACUCGUAAGAGCGGCUCUUUUGGCACCUUUACGCU
RNAcentral lists this ribosomal RNA (588 nucleotides) under Pseudozyma sp. RNAcentral describes it as "LSU rRNA". It matches the Rfam family "Eukaryotic large subunit ribosomal RNA", at positions 49 to 615 of the family's 3401-position model. Lineage: Eukaryota; Fungi; Basidiomycota; Ustilaginomycetes; Ustilaginales; Ustilaginaceae. The record is from RNAcentral.